Molecule: ribosomal RNA, 376 nt
Filed under: uncultured bacterium
Lineage: Bacteria
Description: bacterial SSU rRNA
Rfam family: Bacterial small subunit ribosomal RNA
Source: RNAcentral
GACGAACGCUGGCGGCGUGCUUAACACAUGCAAGUCGAGCGGUAAGGCCCUUUCGGGGGUACACGAGCGGCGAACGGGUGAGUAACACGUGGGUGACCUGCCCUCAGCUCUGGGAUAAGCCUGGGAAACUGGGUCUAAUACCGGAUAUGACUCCAUGACGCAUGUUGUGGGGUGGAAAGCCUUGUGCGGCUGAGGAUGGGCCCGCGGCCUAUCAGCUUGUUGGUGGGGUGANGGCCCUACCAAGGCGACGACGGGUAGCCGGCCUGAGAGGGCGACCGGCCACACUGGGACUGAGACACGGCCCAGACUCCUACGGGAGGCAGCAGUGGGGAAUCUUGCGCAAUGGGCGAAAGCCUGACGCAGCGACGCCGCGUGA